RNAcentral lists this ribosomal RNA (201 nucleotides) under uncultured bacterium. RNAcentral describes it as "partial 16S ribosomal RNA". It matches the Rfam family "Bacterial small subunit ribosomal RNA", at positions 576 to 776 of the family's 1533-position model. The record is from RNAcentral.
UGGCUAAUUAAGUCAAAUGUGAAAUCCCCGGGCUCAACCUGGGAACUGCAUUCGAAACUGGCAGGCUUGAGUCUUGUAGAGGGGGGUAGAAUUCCAGGUGUAGCGGUGAAAUGCGUAGAGAUCUGGAGGAAUACCGGUGGCGAAGGCGGCCCCCUGGACAAAGACUGACGCUCAGGUGCGAAAGCGUGGGGAGCAAACAGG